RNAcentral lists this ribosomal RNA (261 nucleotides) under uncultured bacterium. RNAcentral's name for it is "partial 16S ribosomal RNA". It matches the Rfam family "Bacterial small subunit ribosomal RNA", at positions 793 to 1050 of the family's 1533-position model. The record is from RNAcentral.
GUCCACGCCGUAAACGAUGUUCACUAGUUGCUGGAGGCCCUGGAGCCCUCAGUGACGUACCUAACGGAUUAAGUGAACCGCCUGGGGAGUACGGUCGCAAGAUUAAAACUCAAAGGAAUUGACGGGGACCCGCACAAGCGGUGGAGCAUGUGGUUUAAUUCGAAGCAACGCGCAGAACCUUACCUGGGUUUGACAUGGGAGGAAGUUUCGGUAAUGCGAAACGUGCCCUUCGGGGAACCUCCGCACAGGUGCUGCAUGGCU